GGUCCGGGCGUUAUCCGGAUUUAUUGGGUUUAAAGGGAGCGUAGGCCGGAGAUUAAGCGUGUUGUGAAAUGUAGUGGCUCAACCUCUGCACUGCAGCGCGAACUGGUCUUCUUGAGUACGCACAACGUGGGCGGAAUUCGUGGUGUAGCGGUGAAAUGCAUAGAUAUCACACAGAACACCGAUUGCGAAGGCAUCUCACGAAUCCGCGAUUGACGCUGAGGCACGAAAGUGCGGGUAUC
This 239-nucleotide ribosomal RNA is filed under the name uncultured bacterium. RNAcentral's name for it is "partial 16S ribosomal RNA". It matches the Rfam family "Bacterial small subunit ribosomal RNA", at positions 531 to 769 of the family's 1533-position model. The record is from RNAcentral.